CCUACGGGUGGCAGCAGUAGGGAAUUUUGCGCAAUGGGCGAAAGCCUGACGCAGCAACGCCGCGUGAUCGAGACGCCCUUCGGGGUGGAAAGAUCUGUCAGUGGGGACGAAACUUGACGGUACCCACAGAGGAAGCACCGGCUAACUCCGUGCCAGCAGCCGCGGGAAUACGGGGGGUGCAAGCGUUGUCCGGAAUCAUUGGGCGGAAAGAGUUCGUAGGCGGCACGUAAAGUCUGGUGUUAAAGGCAGAGGCUCAACUUCUGUACGGCACUUGAUACUUGCGAGCUAGAAUGAGGUAGAGGAAGAGGGAAUUCCUGGUGUAGCGGUGAAAUGCUUAGAUAUCAGGAGGAACAUCGGUGGCGUAAGCGCUUUACUGGGCCGUAAUUGACGCUGAGGAACGAAAGCCAGGGUAGCAAAUGGGAUUAGAUACCCCGUGUAGUC
This 441-nucleotide ribosomal RNA is filed under the name uncultured bacterium. RNAcentral's name for it is "partial 16S ribosomal RNA". It matches the Rfam family "Bacterial small subunit ribosomal RNA", at positions 338 to 795 of the family's 1533-position model. The record is from RNAcentral.